This 1329-nucleotide ribosomal RNA is filed under the name Bacillus sp. DU14(2010). RNAcentral's name for it is "bacterial SSU rRNA". It matches the Rfam family "Bacterial small subunit ribosomal RNA", at positions 44 to 1355 of the family's 1533-position model. Lineage: Bacteria; Bacillati; Bacillota; Bacilli; Caryophanales; Bacillaceae. The record is from RNAcentral.
GCGGUCUAUACAUGCAGUCGAGCGAAUGGAUUAAGAGCUUGCUCUUAUGAAGUUAGCGGCGGACGGGUGAGUAACACGUGGGUAACCUACCCAUAAGACUGGGAUAACUCCGGGAAACCGGGGCUAAUACCGGAUAAUAUUUUGAACUGCAUAGUUCGAAAUUGAAAGGCGGCUUCGGCUGUCACUUAUGGAUGGACCCGCGUCGCAUUAGCUAGUUGGUGAGGUAACGGCUCACCAAGGCGACGAUGCGUAGCCGACCUGAGAGGGUGAUCGGCCACACUGGGACUGAGACACGGCCCAGACUCMUACGGGAGGCAGCAGUAGGGAAUCUUCCGCAAUGGACGAAAGUCUGACGGAGCAACGCCGCGUGAGUGAUGAAGGCUUUCGGGUCGUAAAACUCUGUUGUUAGGGAAGAACAAGUGCUAGUUGAAUAAGCUGGCACCUUGACGGUACCUAACCAGAAAGCCACGGCUAACUACGUGCCAGCAGCCGCGGUAAUACGUAGGUGGCAAGCGUUAUCCGGAAUUAUUGGGCGUAAAGCGCGCGCAGGUGGUUUCUUAAGUCUGAUGUGAAAGCCCACGGCUCAACCGUGGAGGGUCAUUGGAAACUGGGAGACUUGAGUGCAGAAGAGGAAAGUGGAAUUCCAUGUGUAGCGGUGAAAUGCGUAGAGAUAUGGAGGAACACCAGUGGCGAAGGCGACUUUCUGGUCUGUAACUGACACUGAGGCGCGAAAGCGUGGGGAGCAAACAGGAUUAGAUACCCUGGUAGUCCACGCCGUAAACGAUGAGUGCUAAGUGUUAGAGGGUUUCCGCCCUUUAGUGCUGAAGUUAACGCAUUAAGCACUCCGCCUGGGGAGUACGGCCGCAAGGCUGAAACUCAAAGGAAUUGACGGGGGCCCGCACAAGCGGUGGAGCAUGUGGUUUAAUUCGAAGCAACGCGAAGAACCUUACCAGGUCUUGACAUCCUCUGAAAACUCUAGAGAUAGAGCUUCUCCUUCGGGAGCAGAGUGACAGGUGGUGCAUGGUUGUCGUCAGCUCGUGUCGUGAGAUGUUGGGUUAAGUCCCGCAACGAGCGCAACCCUUGAUCUUAGUUGCCAUCAUUAAGUUGGGCACUCUAAGGUGACUGCCGGUGACAAACCGGAGGAAGGUGGGGAUGACGUCAAAUCAUCAUGCCCCUUAUGACCUGGGCUACACACGUGCUACAAUGGACGGUACAAAGAGCUGCAAGACCGCGAGGUGGAGCUAAUCUCAUAAAACCGUUCUCAGUUCGGAUUGUAGGCUGCAACUCGCCUACAUGAAGCUGGAAUCGCUAGUAAUCGCGGAUCAGCAG